CCUACGGGAGGCAGCAGUGGGGAAUAUUGGGCAAUGGGCGCAAGCCUGACCCAGCAAAGCCGCGUGAAGGAAGAAGGCUUUCGGGUUGUAAACUUCUUUUUAGAGGGAAGAGCAGAAGACGGUACCUCUUGAAUAAGCCACGGCUAACUACGUGCCAGGAGCCGCGGUCAUACGUAGGUGGCAAGCAUUGUCCGGAUUUACUGGGUGUAAAGGGCGUGCAGCCGGGAAGACAAGUCAGAUGGGAAAUCCCGGGGCUCAAACGCGGAACUGCAUUUGAAACUGUUGUUCUUGAGUACCGGAGAGGUAAUCGGAAUGCGUGGUGUAGCGGUGAAAUGCGUAGAUAUAAGGAAGAACACCAGUGGCGAAGGCGGAUGACCGGCCGGCAACUGACGGUGAGGCGCGAAAGCGUGGGGAGCGAACAGGAUUAGAUACCCGUGUAGUC
Molecule: ribosomal RNA, 442 nt
Filed under: uncultured bacterium
Lineage: Bacteria
Description: partial 16S ribosomal RNA
Rfam family: Bacterial small subunit ribosomal RNA
Source: RNAcentral